UACGAAGGGGGGCUAGCGUUGCUCGGAAUUACUGGGCGUAAAGGGCGCGUAGGCGGCACUGUUAGUCAGGCGUGAAAGUCCUGGGCUCAACCUGGGAACUGCGCUUGAUACGGCAGAGCUAGAGGAUGGAAGAGGCUCGCGGAAUUCCCAGUGUAGAGGUGAAAUUCGUAGAUAUUGGGAAGAACACCGGUGGCGAAGGCGGCGAGCUGGUCCAUUACUGACGCUGAGGCGCGACAGCGUGGGGGAGCAACAGG
RNAcentral lists this ribosomal RNA (254 nucleotides) under uncultured bacterium. RNAcentral's name for it is "partial 16S ribosomal RNA". It matches the Rfam family "Bacterial small subunit ribosomal RNA", at positions 524 to 776 of the family's 1533-position model. The record is from RNAcentral.